This 1008-nucleotide long non-coding RNA is filed under the name Macaca mulatta (Rhesus monkey). RNAcentral describes it as "lncRNA (ENSMMUG00000039200.2)". The record is from RNAcentral. Lineage: Eukaryota; Metazoa; Chordata; Mammalia; Primates; Cercopithecidae.
GAAUAGAAUUACCAUAAUAGUCAUCCUAAAUUUUCACAUAACUUAUUUGAGCCUAAAAUUCCAUAUAAUGUGGAAAUAUCAUAUUAUAUGUAGUUAACAUUAUGCUGGGUUUUGAAAGCUCCUUAUUAGUUGAAAUGGACAGUUUACUAAACUCUGUUUCUUAGUUUCCUCAUCUGUAAAAUGUUGGUAAUUAUGACACCUACACCCUAGGUUUAUAGGAGGAUUAAAUGGGUCAGUCACUGCAAGGUCCUUAGCAAAUUGCCAGAUAUAUAGUAACCACUCAAAAAACAUUUGCUCUUACUUAUGCUUUUUGUCUGUCUGCUGUAGUUCAGGCUGCUUAUAAUAAAGUGCCAUAGACUGGGUCACUUAUAACAACAGAAUUUUUUUUUCUCACAGUUCUCAAGGCAGGAAGUUUGAGAUCACUGUGCCAGCAUGGUUGGGUUCUGGUGAGGGUCUGAUUCCAGGUUGCAGACUUCUCAUGGUAUUCUCACAUGGCAGAAAAGAAGGCAAAUGAACUCUUUCGGAUCUCUCUUAUAUGGCCUUAAUCCCAUUCAUGGAGGCUACACCCUCAUUCUCUAAUCAUCUCCCAAAGGCCCCCAUAAUACCACCAUAUUGGGAGUUUUAAUAUCAACAUACGAAUUUCGAGGAGCAAAUAUCAACAUUCAGCAUCCAGGGUAUGGGAAGCUUCAUUACAGAUUGAAAGUAUGUGAGAGUCAGGAUUCCAGUAAGAUAUGUCUUAUGGCAAAAUCAAAGAAUACUGGGAGCAGAAACCCUCAGAUCAACUGGAAAGGAAUGAAGGGAUACGUGGUGUGGCAGAAACUAAGCCUGACUGUCUAAGAAAAGUAUGCUGACUUUAAGAUUUUAUGUAGACUGCCUUCAACUUGAAGUCAUUAUUUUUUUUAAAUAGAAAAUUAUGGGACAGUUAUGUUACAUAGACCCACAAAAGAUUCAACAAUCAUUUGAAGUAAUUCUGGGGAAGAAAGAAUAUACUUCCUUCUCUAGAACUAG